UAAGUGAAGAAUAUGACGGUAACUUAUGAAUAAGCACCGGCUAAAUACGUGCCAGCAGCCGCGGUCAUACGUAGGGUGCAAGCAUUAUCCGGAGUGACUGGGCGUAAAGAGUUGCGUAGGUGGUUUGUUAAGUAGGUAGUGAAAUCUGGCGGCUCAACCGUACAGGCUAUUACCUAAACUGGCAAACUCGAGAAUGGUAGAGGUAACUGGAAUUUCUAGUGUAGGAGUGAAAUCCGUAGAUAUUAG
Molecule: ribosomal RNA, 246 nt
Filed under: uncultured Candidatus Saccharibacteria bacterium
Lineage: Bacteria; Candidatus Saccharimonadota
Description: partial 16S ribosomal RNA
Rfam family: Bacterial small subunit ribosomal RNA
Source: RNAcentral